GGGAGGGGUGCGAGCGUUAAUCGGAAUUACUGGGCGUAAAGCGCGCGUAGGCGGCUUGGUCAGUCGGGAUGUGAAAGCCCCGGGCUUAACCUGGGAAUUGCAUUCGAUACUGCCCAGACUAGAGUAUGGGAGAGGGAAGCGGAAUUUCCGGUGUAGCGGUGAAAUGCGUAGAUAUCGGAAGGAACACCAGUGGCGAAGGCGGCUUCCUGGCCCAAUACUGACGCUGAGGUGCGAAAGCGUGGGGAGCGAACAGGAUUAGAUACCCUGGUAGUCCACGCCGUAAACGAUGAGAACUAGAUGUCGGGAGGAUUUGCCUCUCGGUGUCGCAGCUAACGCGUUAAGUUCUCCGCCUGGGGAGUACGCCGGCAACGGUA
This 374-nucleotide ribosomal RNA is filed under the name uncultured organism. RNAcentral's name for it is "partial 16S ribosomal RNA". It matches the Rfam family "Bacterial small subunit ribosomal RNA", at positions 525 to 896 of the family's 1533-position model. The record is from RNAcentral.